RNAcentral lists this ribosomal RNA (497 nucleotides) under uncultured bacterium. Its description in RNAcentral is "partial 16S ribosomal RNA". It matches the Rfam family "Bacterial small subunit ribosomal RNA", at positions 28 to 507 of the family's 1533-position model. The record is from RNAcentral.
GAUGAACGCUGGCGGCGUGCCUAAUACAUGCAAGUCGAGCGAACAGAUGAGGAGCUUGCUCCUCUGACGUUAGCGGCGGACGGGUGAGUAACACGUGGAUAACCUACCUAUAAGACUGGGAUAACUUCGGGAAACCGGAGCUAAUACCGGAUAAUAUAUUGAACCGCAUGGUUCAAUAGUGAAAGACGGUUUUGCUGUCACUUAUAGAUGGAUCCGCUCCGCAUUAGCUAGUUGGUAAGGUAACGGCUUACCAAGGCAACGAUGCGUAGCCGACCUGAGAGGGUGAUCGGCCACACUGGAACUGAGACACGGUCCAGACUCCUACGGGAGGCAGCAGUAGGGAAUCUUACGCAAUGGGCGAAAGCCUGACGGAGCAACGCCGCGUGUGUUGUGAAGGUCUUCGGAUCGUAAAACUCUGUUAUUAGGGAAGAACAAAUGUGUAAGUAACUAUGCACGUCUUGACGGUACCUAAUCAGAAAGCCACGGCUAACUACGUG